This 248-nucleotide unclassified non-coding RNA is filed under the name Glomus sp. RNAcentral describes it as "partial contains 5.8S ribosomal RNA and internal transcribed spacer 2". The stretch from base 1 to 65 matches the Rfam family "5.8S ribosomal RNA", at positions 84 to 154 of the family's 154-position model. Lineage: Eukaryota; Fungi; Glomeromycota; Glomeromycetes; Glomerales; Glomeraceae. The record is from RNAcentral.
GUGAAUCAUCGAAUCUUUGAACGCAAAUUGCACUCUCCUCGGAGAGUAUGCCUGUUUGAGGGUCAGCCUAUAAAAAAUCAACAUCGUGGCGUUUUCGCGGUGGGUUCCGUCGGAAUUUGGGUCUUCUUAAAUCUUUUUGUUUUAGGCGACUUAAAAUUUUCUUUUGUUUCCAUAACGGUUUCUAAGUUCUUUUUCUUUACACGUUUAAGUUAUCGAUUUUUACUAGACUUAACCAUAAUAUCGGAUCC